This 1093-nucleotide ribosomal RNA is filed under the name Streptococcus mitis. RNAcentral describes it as "bacterial SSU rRNA". It matches the Rfam family "Bacterial small subunit ribosomal RNA", at positions 55 to 1167 of the family's 1533-position model. Lineage: Bacteria; Bacillati; Bacillota; Bacilli; Lactobacillales; Streptococcaceae. The record is from RNAcentral.
AUCGAGUAGAACGCUAAGGAGGAGCUUGCUUCUCUGGAUGAGUUGCGAACGGGUGAGUAACGCGUAGGUAACCUGCCUGGUAGCGGGGGAUAACUAUUGAAACGAUAGCUAAUACCGCAUAAAGUAGAUGUUGCAUGACAUUUGCUUAAAAGGUGCAAUUGCUCACUACCAGAUGGACCUGCGUUGUAUUAGCUAGUUGGUGGGUAACGGCUCACCAAGGCGACGAUACAUACCACCUGAGAGGGUGAUCGGCCACCUGGGACUGAGACACGGCCAACUCCUACGGGAGGCAGCAGUAGGGAAUCUUCGGCAAUGGACGGAAGUCUGACCGAGCAACCCGCGUGAGUGAAGAAGGUUUUCGGAUCGUAAAGCUCUGUUGUAAGAGAAGAACGAGUGUGAGAGUGGAAAGUUCACACUGUGACGGUAUCUUACCAGAAAGGGACGGCUAACUACGUGCCACACCGCGGUAAUACGUAGGUCCCAGCGUUGUCCGGAUUUAUUGGGCGUAAAGCGAGCGCAGGCGGUUAGAUAAGUCUGAAGUUAAAGGCUGUGGCUUAACCAUAGUACGCUUUGGAAACUGUUUAACUUGAGUGCAAGGGGAGAGUGGAAUUCCAUGUGUACGGUGAAAUGCGUAGAUAUAUGGAGGAACACCGGUGGCGAAAGCGGCUCUCUGGCUUGUAACUGACGCUGAGGCUCGAAACGUGGGAGCAAACAGGAUUAGAUACCCUGGUAUCCACGCCGUAAACGAUGAGUGCUAGGUGUUAGACCCUUUCCGGGGUUAGUGCCGCAGCUAACGCAUUAAGCACUCCGCCUGGGGAGUACGACCGCAGGUUGAAACUCAAGGAAUUGACGGGGGCCGCACAAGCGUGGAGCAUGUGGUUUAAUUCGAACAACGCGAAGAACCUUACAGUCUUGACAUCCCUCUGACCCGCUCUAGAAUAAGUUUUCCUUCGGACAAGGUGACAGGGUGCAUGGUUUGUCGAUCAGCUUCGGUCGUGAGAUGUGGGAUUAAGUCCGCAACGAGCGCACCCUAUUGUUAUUGUCUCAUUCGCUGGCUACUCUAGCGGAGACUGCCCGGGAAAUUAACCGGUGA